Non-coding RNA from Procambarus clarkii (red swamp crayfish), 414 nucleotides. NCBI's taxonomy places the organism in Eukaryota, Metazoa, Arthropoda, Malacostraca, Decapoda, Cambaridae. The record is from RefSeq and is a predicted model, not a curated record.
GAAUAGUGGAUGAAGCCCACACUAAAAUGUAAGUGGUACAGUAAAUGGACCCCCCUCCCCCCUCCCUUUUGACACACAACAGUUGGGAGGAAGGGGGGGGGGGGAGAAAGUGUGGCUUGUAGUUCUAUUGCUACAAAUGGGACAAAGAUAGUUAGUGUGCCAUUUAAAACGUUAACUGUUAAACUGGUGGUACAGGUAUGAACCAAGUAACAUCGCUAUGCAAAUAACUUUUUAGUAAUAUUUACUGUUCACAUGACAGGUUGUGGAAGGUCCUGGCAACAGAGCUGCAGGAAAAUACUUGCAGAUCUACAGUGAAAGUGAUUAUGAUGCAUGGACUGGCUUGGAGUGAGGCUCCUUUACUUUGCAAAAGUGGGUGAUUGUCUCUGGAGUUGUCUUAGCCUUUUGGAUCUUCUG